This 345-nucleotide unclassified non-coding RNA is filed under the name soil metagenome. RNAcentral describes it as "partial contains 5.8S ribosomal RNA, internal transcribed spacer 2, and large subunit ribosomal RNA". The stretch from base 1 to 120 matches the Rfam family "5.8S ribosomal RNA", at positions 35 to 154 of the family's 154-position model. The record is from RNAcentral.
GAUGAAGAACGUAGCGAAAUGCGAUACGUAAUGUGAAUUGCAGAAUUCAGUGAAUCAUCGAGUCUUUGAACGCACAUUGCGCCCCCUGGUAUUCCGGGGGGCAUGCCUGUCCGAGCGUCAUUGCUGCCCUCAAGCACGGCUUGUGUGUUGGGCCUCCGUCCUCCUCCCAGGGGACGGGCCCGAAAGGCAGCGGCGGCACCGCGUCCGGUCCUCGAGCGUAUGGGGCUUCGUCACCCGCUCUUGUAGGCCCGGCCGGCGCUUGCCGACACAUCAAUCUUUUUUCCAGGUUGACCUCGGAUCAGGUAGGGAUACCCGCUGAACUUAAGCAUAUCAAUAAGCGGAGGA